CUGGCGGCGUGCUUAACACAUGCAAGUCGAACGAGAAGAGAUGAGAAGCUUGCUUCUUAUUAAUUCGAGUGGCAAACGGGUGAGUAACGCGUAAGCAACCUGCCCUUCAGAUGGGGACAACAGCUGGAAACGGCUGCUAAUACCGAAUACGUUCUUUUUGUCGCAUGGCAGAGGGAAGAAAGGGAGGCUCUUCGGAGCUUUCGCUGAAGGAGGGGCUUGCGUCUGAUUAGCUAGUUGGAGGGGUAACGGCCCACCAAGGCGACGAUCAGUAGCCGGUCUGAGAGGAUGAACGGCCACAUUGGAACUGAGACACGGUCCAGACUCCUACGGGAGGCAGCAGUGGGGAAUAUUGCACAAUGGGGGAAACCCUGAUGCAGCAACGCCGCGUGAGUGAUGACGGUCUUCGGAUUGUAAAGCUCUGUCUUUAGGGACGAUAAUGACGGUACCUAAGGAGGAAGCCACGGCUAACUACGUG
This 475-nucleotide ribosomal RNA is filed under the name uncultured bacterium. RNAcentral's name for it is "bacterial SSU rRNA". It matches the Rfam family "Bacterial small subunit ribosomal RNA", at positions 36 to 507 of the family's 1533-position model. The record is from RNAcentral.